AAUCCAUAGGUUAAUGAGGCGAACCGGGGGAACUGAAACAUCUAAGUACCCCGAGGAAAAGAAAUCAACCGAGAUUCCCCCAGUAGCGGCGAGCGAACGGGGAGGAGCCCAGAGCCUGAAUCAGCAUGUGUGUUAGUGGAAGCGUCUGGAAAGGCGCGCGAUACAGGGUGACAGCCCCGUACACAAAAGCGCAUGUGCUGUGAGCUCGAUGAGUAGGGCGGGACACGUGGUAUCCUGUCUGAAUAUGGGGGGACCAUCCUCCAAGGCUAAAUACUCCUGACUGACCGAUAGUGAACCAGUACCGUGAGGGAAAGGCGAAAAGAACCCCGGCGAGGGGAGUGAAAAAGAACCUGAAACCGUGUACGUACAAGCAGUGGGAGCACAGGUUUACCUGUGUGACUGCGUACCUUUUGUAUAAUGGGUCAGCGACUUAUAUUCUGUAGCAAGGUUAACCGUAUAGGGGAGCCGGAGGGAAACCGAGUCUUAAUUGGGCGUUAAGUUGCAGGGUAUAGACCCGAAACCCGGUGAUCUAGCCAUGGGCAGGUUGAAGGUUGGGUAACACUAACUGGAGGACCGAACCGACUAAUGUUGAAAAAUUAGCGGAUGACCUGUGGCUGGGGGUGAAAGGCCAAUCAAACCGGGAGAUAGCUGGUUCUCCCCGAAAGCUAUUUAGGUAGCGCCUCGUGAAUUCAUCUCCGGGGGUAGAGCACUGUUUCGGCUAGGGGGCCAUCCCGGCUUACCAACCCGAUGCAAACUGCGAAUACCGGAGAAUGUUAUCACGGGAGACACACGGCGGGUGCUAACGUCCGUCGUGAAGAGGGAAACAACCCAGACCGCCAGCUAAGGUCCCAAAGUCAUGGUUAAGUGGGAAACGAUGUGGGAAGGCCCAGACAGCCAGGAUGUUGGCUUAGAAGCAGCCAUCAUUUAAAGAAAGCGUAAUAGCUCACUGGUCGAGUCGGCCUGCGCGGAAGAUGUAACGGGGCUAAACCAUGCACCGAAGCUGCGGCAGCGAACGUAUCACCCAAGACAACUUUACGGAGUUGACGAUUGACGGAGCGAAGCGACGUCAAAGCGUUCAUUAAAGUCGAGUUGGCUUAGGGAUACGUUCGUUGGGUAGGGGAGCGUUCUGUAAGCCUGUGAAGGUGUGUCGUGAGGCAUGCUGGAGGUAUCAGAAGUGCGAAUGCUGACAUAAGUAACGAUAAAGCGGGUGAAAAGCCCGCUCGCCGGAAGACCAAGGGUUCCUGUCCAACGUUAAUCGGGGCAGGGUGAGUCGACCCCUAAGGCGAGGCCGAAAGGCGUAGUCGAUGGGAAACGGGUUAAUAUUCCCGUACUUGGUGUUACUGCGAAGGGGGGACGGAGAAGGCUAUGUUGGCCGGGCGACGGUUGUCCCGGUUUAAGCGUGUAGGUGUGUGUUCCAGGUAAAUCCGGUUCACUUUAACACUGAGGCGUGACGACGAGGCACUACGGUGCUGAAGCAACAAAUGCCCUGCUUCCAGGAAAAGCCUCUAAGCAUCAGGUAACACGAAAUCGUACCCCAAACCGACACAGGUGGUCAGGUAGAGAAUACCAAGGCGCUUGAGAG
Molecule: ribosomal RNA, 1582 nt
Filed under: Salmonella enterica subsp. enterica
Lineage: Bacteria; Pseudomonadati; Pseudomonadota; Gammaproteobacteria; Enterobacterales; Enterobacteriaceae
Description: partial 23S ribosomal RNA
Rfam family: Bacterial large subunit ribosomal RNA
Source: RNAcentral